GUCUGGGAAACUGCCUGAUGAGGGGGAGUAACUACUGGAAACGGUAGCUAAUACCGCAUAACGUCGCAAGACCAAAGAGGGGGACCUUCGGGCCUCUUGCCAUCGGAUGUGCCCAGAUGGGAUUAGCUAGUAGGUGGGGUAACGGCUCACCUAGGCGACGAUCCCUAGCUGGUCUGAGAGGAUGACCAGCCACACUGGAACUGAGACACGGUCCAAACUCCUACGGGAGGCAGCAUG
RNAcentral lists this ribosomal RNA (237 nucleotides) under uncultured bacterium. RNAcentral's name for it is "partial 16S ribosomal RNA". It matches the Rfam family "Bacterial small subunit ribosomal RNA", at positions 115 to 353 of the family's 1533-position model. The record is from RNAcentral.